RNAcentral lists this ribosomal RNA (468 nucleotides) under uncultured bacterium. RNAcentral describes it as "partial 16S ribosomal RNA". It matches the Rfam family "Bacterial small subunit ribosomal RNA", at positions 28 to 507 of the family's 1533-position model. The record is from RNAcentral.
GACGAACGCUGGCGGCGUGCUUAACACAUGCAAGUCGAACGGAAAGGCCCUGCUUUUGUGGGGUGCUCGAGUGGCGAACGGGUGAGUAACACGUGAGUAACCUGCCCUUGACUUUGGGAUAACUUCAGGAAACUGGGGCUAAUACCGGAUAGGAGCUCCUGCUGCAUGGUGGGGGUUGGAAAGUUUCGGCGGUUGGGGAUGGACUCGCGGCUUAUCAGCUUGUUGGUGGGGUAGUGGCUUACCAAGGCUUUGACGGGUAGCCGGCCUGAGAGGGUGACCGGCCACAUUGGGACUGGGAUACGGCCCAGACUCCUACGGGAGGCAGCAGUGGGGAAUAUUGCACAAUGGGCGGAAGCCUGAUGCAGCAACGCCGCGUGCGGGAUGACGGCCUUCGGGUUGUAAACCGCUUUCGCCUGUGACGAAGCGUAAGUGACGGUAAUGGGUAAAGAAGCACCGGCUAACUACGUG